GACGAACGCUGGCGGCGUGCUUAACACAUGCAAGUCGAACGGAAAGGCCCUGCUUUUGUGGGGUGCUCGAGUGGCGAACGGGUGAGUAACACGUGAGUAACCUGCCCUUGACUUUGGGAUAACUUCAGGAAACAGGGGCUAAUACCGGGUAGGAGCUCCUGCUGCAUGGGGGGGGUUGGAAAGUUUCGGUGGUUGGGGCUGGUCUCGAGGGUUAUCAGCUUGUUGGUGGGGUAGUGGCUUACAAAGGCUUUGACGGGUAGCCGGCCUGAGAGGGUGACCGGCCACAUUGGGACUGAGGUACGGCCCAGACUCCUACGGGAGGCAGCAGUGGGGAAUAUUGCACAAUGGGCGGAAGCCUGAUGCAGCAACGCCGCGUGCGGGAUGACGGCCUACGGGUUGUAAACCGCUUUCGCCUGUGACGAAGCGUGAUUGACGGUAAUGGGUAAGGAAGCACCGGCUAACUACGUG
Molecule: ribosomal RNA, 468 nt
Filed under: uncultured bacterium
Lineage: Bacteria
Description: partial 16S ribosomal RNA
Rfam family: Bacterial small subunit ribosomal RNA
Source: RNAcentral